GACGAACGCUGGCGGCGUGCUUAACACAUGCAAGUCGAACGGAAAGGCCCUGCUUUUGUGGGGUGCUCGAGUGGCGAACGGGUGAGUAACACGUGAGUAACCUGCCCUUGCCUUUGGGAUAACUUCAGGAAACUGGGGCUAAUACCGGCUAGGAGCUCCUGCUGCAUGGUGGGGGUUGGUAAGUUUCGGCGGUUGGGGAUGGACUCGCGGCUUAUCAGCUUGUUGGUGGGGUAGUGGCUUACCAAGGCUUUGACGGGUAGCCGGCCUGAGAGGGUGACCGGCCAAAUUGGGACUGAGAUACGGCCCAGACUCAGACGGGAGGCAGGAGUGGGGAAUAAUGCACAAUGGGCGGAAGCCUGAUGCAGGAACGCCGCGUGCGGGAUGACGGACUGCGGGUUGUAAACCGCUUUCGCCUGUGACGAAGCGUGAGAGACGGGAAUGGGUAAAGAAGCACCGGCUAACUACGUG
Molecule: ribosomal RNA, 468 nt
Filed under: uncultured bacterium
Lineage: Bacteria
Description: partial 16S ribosomal RNA
Rfam family: Bacterial small subunit ribosomal RNA
Source: RNAcentral